CGACAGGCUUAACACAUGCAAGUCGAGGGGCAGCACAGGUAGCAAUACCGGGUGGCGACCGGCGCACGGGUGAGUAACGCGUAUGCAACUUACCUAUCAGAGGGGGAUAACCCGGCGAAAGUCGGACUAAUACCGCAUGAAGCAGGGGCCCCGCAUGGGGAUAUUUGCUAAAGAUUCAUCGCUGAUAGAUAGGCAUGCGUUCCAUUAGGCAGUUGGCGGGGUAACGGCCCACCAAACCGACGAUGGAUAGGGGUUCUGAGAGGAAGGUCCCCCACAUUGGUACUGAGACACGGACCAAACUCCUACGGGAGGCAGCAGUGAGGAAUAUUGGUCAAUGGCCGAGAGGCUGAACCAGCCAAGUCGCGUGAGGGAUGAAGGUUCUAUGGAUCGUAAACCUCUUUUAUAAGGGAAUAAAGUGCGGGACGUGUCCCGUUUUGUAUGUACCUUAUGAAUAAGGAUCGGCUAACUCCGUGCCAGCAGCCGCGGUAAUACGGAGGAUCCGAGCGUUAUCCGGAUUUAUUGGGUUUAAAGGGUGCGUAGGCGGCCUUUUAAGUCAGCGGUGAAAGUCUGUGGCUCAACCAUAGAAUUGCCGUUGAAACUGGGGGGCUUGAGUAUGUUUGAGGCAGGCGGAAUGCGUGGUGUAGCGGUGAAAUGCAUAGAUAUCACGCAGAACCCCGAUUGCGAAGGCAGCCUGCCAAGCCAUUACUGACGCUGAUGCACGAAAGCGUGGGGAUCAAACAGGAUUAGAUACCCUGGUAGUCCACGCAGUAAACGAUGAUCACUAGCUGUUUGCGAUACACUGUAAGCGGCACAGCGAAAGCGUUAAGUGAUCCACCUGGGGAGUACGCCGGCAACGGUGAAACUCAAAGGAAUUGACGGGGGCCCGCACAAGCGGAGGAACAUGUGGUUUAAUUCGAUGAUACGCGAGGAACCUUACCCGGGUUUGAACGCAUUCGGACCGAGGUGGAAACACCUUUUCUAGCAAUAGCCGUUUGCGAGGUGCUGCAUGGUUGUCGUCAGCUCGUGCCGUGAGGUGUCGGCUUAAGUGCCAUAACGAGCGCAACCCUUGCCACUAGUUACUAACAGGUGAUGCUGAGGACUCUGGUGGGACUGCCAGCGUAAGCUGCGAGGAAGGCGGGGAUGACGUCAAAUCAGCACGGCCCUUACAUCCGGGGCGACACACGUGUUACAAUGGCGUGGACAAAGGGAGGCCACCUGGCGACAGGGAGCGAAUCCCCAAACCACGUCUCAGUUCGGAUUGGAGUCUGCAACCCGACUCCAUGAAGCUGGAUUCGCUAGUAAUCGCGCAUCAGCCACGGCGCGGUGAAUACGUUCCCGGGCCUUGUACACACCGCCCGUCAAGCCAUGAAAGCCGGGGGUACCUGAAGUACGUAACCGCAAGGAGCGUCCUAGGGUAAAACUGGUAAUUGGGGCUAAG
This 1438-nucleotide ribosomal RNA is filed under the name uncultured organism. Its description in RNAcentral is "16S ribosomal RNA". It matches the Rfam family "Bacterial small subunit ribosomal RNA". The record is from RNAcentral.